UAGGGAAUAUUGCAUAAUGGGCGAAAGCCUGAUGCAGCAACGCCGCGUGCGCGAUGAAGGCCUUCGGGUUGUAAAGCGCUUUUAGAGAGGAUGAGGAAGGACAGUACUCUCAGAAUAAGCCUCGGCUAACUACGUGCCAGCAGCCGCGGUAAAACGUAGGAGGCGAGCGUUAUCCGGAUUUACUGGGUGUAAAGCGCGUGCAGGCGGUUUGGUAAGUUGGAUGUGAAAGCUCCUGGCUUAACUAGGAGAGGUCGUUCAAUACUACCAGACUAGAGUAUGGGAGAGGGAGGUGGAAUUCCGGGUGUAGUGGUGAAAUGCGUAGAUAUCCGGAGGAACACCAGUGGCGAAAGCGGCCUCCUGGCCCAAAACUGACGCUCAGACGCGAAAGCUAGGGGAGCGA
Molecule: ribosomal RNA, 400 nt
Filed under: uncultured bacterium
Lineage: Bacteria
Description: bacterial SSU rRNA
Rfam family: Bacterial small subunit ribosomal RNA
Source: RNAcentral